Molecule: ribosomal RNA, 478 nt
Filed under: uncultured bacterium
Lineage: Bacteria
Description: partial 16S ribosomal RNA
Rfam family: Bacterial small subunit ribosomal RNA
Source: RNAcentral
GACGAACGCUGGCGGCGUGCUUAACACAUGCAAGUCGAACGGUAAGGCCCUUCGGGGUACACGAGUGGCUAACGGGUGAGUAACACGUGGGUGAUCUACCCUGCACUUCGGGAUAAGCCUGGGAAACUGGGUCUAAUACCGGAUAGGACCCUGGGAUGCAGUCCCUGGGGUGGACAGCUUUGGCGGUGUGGGAUGGGCCCGCGGCCUAUCAGCUUGUUGGUGGGGUGAUGGCCUACCAAGGCGACGACGGGUAGCCGGCCUGAGAGGGUGACCGGCCACACUGGGACUGAGAUACGGCCCAGACUCCUACGGGAGGCAGCAGUGGGGAAUAUUGCACAAUGGGCGCAAGCCUGAUGCAGCGACGCCGCGUGAGGGAUGACGGCCUUCGGGUUGUAAACCUCUUUCAGCACCGACGAAGCGCAAGUGACGGUAGGUGCAGAAGAAGGACCGGCCAACUACGUGCCAGCAGCCGCGGUAA